AUUGAACGCUGGCGGCAGGCCUAACACAUGCAAGUCGAGCGGAUGAAGGGAGCUUGCUCCUGGAUUCAGCGGCGGACGGGUGAGUAAUGCCUAGGAAUCUGCCUGGUAGUGGGGGAUAACGUCCGGAAACGGGCGCUAAUACCGCAUACAUCCUGAGGGAGAAAGUGGGGGAUCUUCGGACCUCACGCUAUCAGAUAAGCCUAGGUCGGAUUACCUAGUUGGUGGGGUAAAGGCCUACCAAGGCGACGAUCCGUAACUGGUCUGAGAGGAUGAUCAGUCACACUGGAACUGAGACACGGUCCAGACUCCUACGGGAGGCAGCAGUGGGGAAUAUUGGACAAUGGGCGAAAGCCUGAUCCAGCCAUGCCGCGUGUGUGAAGAAGGUCUUCGGAUUGUAAAGCACUUUAAGUUGGGAGGAAGGGCAGUAAGUUAAUACCUUGCUGUUUUGACGUUACCAACAGAAUAAGCACCGGCUAACUUCGUG
RNAcentral lists this ribosomal RNA (484 nucleotides) under uncultured bacterium. RNAcentral's name for it is "partial 16S ribosomal RNA". It matches the Rfam family "Bacterial small subunit ribosomal RNA", at positions 30 to 507 of the family's 1533-position model. The record is from RNAcentral.